This 219-nucleotide non-coding RNA is filed under the name Sphingomonas sp. Lineage: Bacteria; Pseudomonadati; Pseudomonadota; Alphaproteobacteria; Sphingomonadales; Sphingomonadaceae. The record is from RNAcentral. RNAcentral also lists the same sequence under 1 other name.
UUCACCAAAGAUCGCGCCGGUGCCCCAUAAAGGGGCUUAAUCGGGAAUGCGGUGCGGGGAGCUUUCCCCAAAUCCGCGGCUGUCCCUGCAACUGUGAGCGGAUAGCGCGAUGCACUGGCCUCCUUGUGAGAGGCAGCCACUGGGCCACGACGGCCUGGGAAGGCGUGCAGCGUGCCGUGACCCGCGAGCCAGGAGACCUGCCGGCGCAACGGUCGCUCU